UACGAGGGGGGCAAAUGUCGUUCGGAAUCAUUGGGCGUAAAGCGCGCGUAGGUGGCCUCGUAAGUCCGCUGUGAAAGUCAAAGGCUCAACCUUUGAAAGCCGGUGGAUACUGUGGGGCUAGAGUACGGAAGAGGCGAGUGGAAUUCCUGGUGUAGCGGUGGAAUGCGCAGAUAUCAGGAGGAACACCAAUAGCGAAGGCAGCUCGCUGGGACGUUACUGACACUGAGGCGCGAAAGCGUGGGGAGCGAACAGG
RNAcentral lists this ribosomal RNA (253 nucleotides) under uncultured bacterium. RNAcentral describes it as "partial 16S ribosomal RNA". It matches the Rfam family "Bacterial small subunit ribosomal RNA", at positions 524 to 776 of the family's 1533-position model. The record is from RNAcentral.